RNAcentral lists this non-coding RNA (27 nucleotides) under Homo sapiens (human). Lineage: Eukaryota; Metazoa; Chordata; Mammalia; Primates; Hominidae. The record is from RNAcentral.
UGAUUGUCCUCUUUUGUGAAAUGCCUA